Molecule: non-coding RNA, 279 nt
Organism: Pimephales promelas (fathead minnow)
Lineage: Eukaryota; Metazoa; Chordata; Actinopteri; Cypriniformes; Leuciscidae
Product: small Cajal body-specific RNA 6
Source: RefSeq, a predicted model, not a curated record
GGUCAAUGAUGUGAUUUGUAAAAGGUCUGAUAUCCAGGUCUCCUCCCAGUCCUGUCCUCCCAGCAGCCGCUCUUAAUUUUCCCAGCAUGCUCUAGCUGUGCAUCACUGGUUUUAGUGGCGGCUGAUAGAUAUAAUGGACGUUCUUGCUGAAUACGAGUCUUUUAGAGAAGCAAGCGAGACGUCGACGGCAGCGUCCAACAGAAACACAACAUUCAGGAGUGAAGGAUUGGGAAGAGGACGUUAAACUGGUGCAUGAUCUCAAGUUUUCAAGCUGAGACC